AGGAUGGAGGGCGGGAGCUGCUCGCUACGGCGGUGCCGGAGGAGCAGCGGAAGGAAGCUGGGAGGGGUCCCUGGGGAGGGUCUUCGGGCCCGGCCAGUGCCUGGUCCCUGAGGGGAGCGGGGUCGGGUGCAGGGGCAGUAGGUGCCCUGGGCUGUGCCCUGUGUUUUACGACUUCAUGCCGGGUAGGUCCCACUCACACCGUCCUUAGCAGCGGCCUUUGGGGUGUGGCUGGGUGUACGCGAUCCCUCACCUGCCCCCAGCCGCCCUCCAGCCCCACCAGCGGAACGCAGCUUUCUUCCAAGGCUGUGUGACAGUCCCCCAGUCCAGGAGCAUGUCACUGGGCUUCGCUCUUUUCCUCUCCUCAGCUGGCUGAAAGGGCUGGACUUCUCCUGAGGCUACUGGGAGGAAGCCAUCACCUGCUAUUUGAAAGUCAUCGACCUGGAUCCACAGAGGGCAGUACUGGCAGGCAGAAGCUUUCCUCUCUGUGGCCAUUGAGCACAAGACCUGGAAACUGCUGCCCUACCUGUGCUGGACCAGGACCUGCCUGUGCCUGAGGAGGAUGGAGAGCACGAGGGAGGAUGCUGCUCUACAUCUGUGGCUCAACCCCAUGGAUGGUUGUCCCCAGGUCCCCUGUUGUGACACUCCCUAGAAGCUGAAUGGACGCUGGCCCAGCCAAAGCCUGUGAGGUGUGAUCAGCAGAAGGAUGUACAAGAGACUCAACAGCUCAUAGCACCAACUGUCAGC
Long non-coding RNA from Chroicocephalus ridibundus (black-headed gull), 744 nucleotides. RefSeq lists it as uncharacterized. The transcript is spliced from 3 exons. The record is from RefSeq and is a predicted model, not a curated record. Lineage: Eukaryota; Metazoa; Chordata; Aves; Charadriiformes; Laridae.